ACCUAGGAUUAUAGGUGUGAGACAGCAGUGACCAACAAUAACUUUGUUUUUAUAAUAAUGCUAGCAGAGUACACACAAGAAGAAAAGUAUCUGCACUAGAUCUUAAAGACUAGCGUAUACCUUUUUGUAAAUUUCUAGUGUCCUUUGUCUUAAGAUUUGGUGUAGUAUGU
Molecule: small nucleolar RNA, 170 nt
Filed under: Castor canadensis (American beaver)
Lineage: Eukaryota; Metazoa; Chordata; Mammalia; Rodentia; Castoridae
Description: Small nucleolar RNA SNORA81 (ENSCCNG00000029995.1)
Rfam family: Small nucleolar RNA SNORA81
Source: Rfam by way of RNAcentral